Molecule: unclassified non-coding RNA, 263 nt
Filed under: Hevea brasiliensis (rubber tree)
Lineage: Eukaryota; Viridiplantae; Streptophyta; Magnoliopsida; Malpighiales; Euphorbiaceae
Source: RNAcentral
AAAUUAAAAAAAAAAAAAAGAAAAGAAAAGAAAGAUUAGAAAUCUUUCUUUAAUUAAAAAUCUAUGAAAAGUCUGCAUCUUGAGAAGAGGGAGAAAAUGGAGGAGAAAUAUAUAGGAGAGCGAUUGCCCCGUAAUCUGUACUCUGUAGCCAUGUAAGAUUUGUCGUUUUCAAUGGAUUUGAUCAAUCGGUGGGCAUGAGUUGCCAGGCUGUAAAUUGGAGCAGACAGCUUGCGUGUAUGUAAAAGGUUUCAGUUUGAUUUUAA